AUUGAACGCUGGCGGCAGGCCUAACACAUGCAAGUCGUGCGGAGCGGCGGACGGGUGAGUAACGCCUAGGAAUCUGCCUGGUAGUGGGGGAUAACGUCCGGAAACGGGCGCUAAUACCGCAUACUAUCAGAUUAGCCUAGGUCGGAUUAGCUUGUUGGUGGGGUAAAGGCCUACCAAGGCGACGAUCCGUAACUGGUCUGAGAGGAUGAUCAGUCACACUGGAACUGAGACACGGUCCAGACGCCUACGUGAGGCAGCAGUGGGGAAUAUUAGACAAUGGGCGGAAGCCUGAUCCAGCCAUGCCACGUGUGUGAAGAAGGUCUUCGGAUUGUAAAGCACUUUAAAUUAGAAGGCGUUACCAACAGAAGAAGCACCGGCUAACUACGUGCCAGCAGCCGCGGUAAUAC
Molecule: ribosomal RNA, 407 nt
Filed under: uncultured bacterium
Lineage: Bacteria
Description: partial 16S ribosomal RNA
Rfam family: Bacterial small subunit ribosomal RNA
Source: RNAcentral